CUGUAUUUUAGAGCUAUACUCCUGGAGCAGUUCCCAUCUGCUGCUAAGGUUUCUGCUAGAGAUGCAAGAAAAAAGUGUCCUCAUGCUUUCUGUCUGUCUGGUUGUGGCCGUUAAGAUUGAAUGGGGGAAUACAGGG
This 136-nucleotide small nucleolar RNA is filed under the name Suricata suricatta (meerkat). RNAcentral describes it as "Small nucleolar RNA SNORA31 (ENSSSUG00005003973.1)". It matches the Rfam family "Small nucleolar RNA SNORA31". From Rfam's summary of the family: ACA31 (SNORA31) belongs to the H/ACA class of snoRNAs which are thought to guide the sites of modification of uridines to pseudouridines. The record is from Rfam by way of RNAcentral. Lineage: Eukaryota; Metazoa; Chordata; Mammalia; Carnivora; Herpestidae.